Molecule: ribosomal RNA, 330 nt
Filed under: Triticum aestivum (bread wheat)
Lineage: Eukaryota; Viridiplantae; Streptophyta; Magnoliopsida; Poales; Poaceae
Description: partial small subunit ribosomal RNA
Source: RNAcentral
AUGACCCGCCUCCUACCAGGCAGCAGCCAGGGCCUCAUGUACAAAAGGGCUCCGUCUCUUCUCAACCCAGAGCUAGCUAGGGAAGACGAAGCACAGCAAUACCUGGCAGUGAGUUAUAAUCCAUCCACAAGCAGUAGCAGAAGUGUGUGUAGGCUGAUCAGACUAUACAUACACACACACACCCUUAUAUGUCGGAGGAUCCACGGCACGCGAUGGAGGGGAGGGCGAGGCGGCGCGCCAGCCCGUCCAGGAUGCGCACCAAGGCUAUCAGGGUGGAGCCGGAGCCACCACCGACCAAGAGGCUUGAGCCAGGGACGAGGGCGGUGGUGA